AGCGAACGCUGGCGGCAGGCCUAACACAUGCAAGUCGAACGAACCCUUCGGGGUUAGUGGCGGACGGGUGAGUAACACGUGGGAACGUACCUUUAGGUUCGGAACAACACAGGGAAACUUGUGCUAAUGCCGAAUGUGCCCUUCGGGGAAGGAUUUAUCGCCUUUAGUAGCGGCCCGCGUCUGAUUAGCUUGUUGGUGAGGUAAAGGACUCACCAAGGCUUCGAUCAGUAGCUGGUCUGAGAGGANGAUCAGCCACACUGGGACUGAGACACGGCCCAGACUCCUACGGGAGGCAGCAGUGGGGAAUCUUGCGCAAUGGGCGGAAAGCCUGACGCAGCCAUGCCGCGU
This 348-nucleotide ribosomal RNA is filed under the name uncultured bacterium. RNAcentral describes it as "bacterial SSU rRNA". It matches the Rfam family "Bacterial small subunit ribosomal RNA", at positions 29 to 402 of the family's 1533-position model. The record is from RNAcentral.